GCCGUUAGCAGAGUGAGGCGUCGAGCGGCGGACGGGUGAGUAACGCAUAGGAAUCUGCCCGGUAGUGGGGGAUAACCUGGGGAAACCCAGGCUAAUACCGCAUACGCCCUACGGGAGAAAGCAGGGGCUCUUCGGACCUUGCGCUAUCGGAUGAGCCUAUGUCGGAUUAGCUGGUUGGUGAGGUAAUGGCUCACCAAGGCGACGAUCCGUAGCUGGUCUGAGAGGAUGAUCAGCCACAUCGGGACUGAGACACGGCCCGAACUCCUACGGGAGGCAGCAGUGGGGAAUAUUGGACAAUGGGCGCAAGCCUGAUCCAGCCAUGCCGCGUGUGUGAAGAAGGCCCUCGGGUUGUAAAGCACUUUCAGUGGGGAAGAAAUCCUCGGGGCUAAUACCCUCGAGGGAGGACAUCACCCACAGAAGAAGCACCGGCUAACUCCGUGCCAGCAGCCGCGGUAAUACGGAGGGUGCGAGCGUUAAUCGGAAUUACUGGGCGUAAAGCGCGCGUAGGCGGCCUGAUAAGCCGGUUGUGAAAGCCCCGGGCUCAACCUGGGAACGGCAUCCGGAACUGUCAGGCUAGAGUGCAGGAGAGGAAGGUAGAAUUCCCGGUGUAGCGGUGAAAUGCGUAGAGAUCGGGAGGAAUACCAGUGGCGAAGGCGGCCUUCUGGACUGACACUGACGCUGAGGUGCGAAAGCGUGGGGUAGCAAACAGGAUUAGAUACCCUGGUAGUCCACGCCGUAAACG
This 742-nucleotide ribosomal RNA is filed under the name Halomonas shengliensis. RNAcentral's name for it is "bacterial SSU rRNA". It matches the Rfam family "Bacterial small subunit ribosomal RNA", at positions 75 to 808 of the family's 1533-position model. Lineage: Bacteria; Pseudomonadati; Pseudomonadota; Gammaproteobacteria; Oceanospirillales; Halomonadaceae. The record is from RNAcentral.